CAAAAAAAAGUAACCUUUAUUUGAUGAAUAAAUAUGUGAACAAAUAAACAGUGAUUCUGCAAGAGGUGGAUUCGAAAUACAUGGAACUAAAAACUCAAACACUUAAUCAGUUAAAUGGUCUUUGUGAUAAAUAUUACAUGAAAACAUCUGCAAUCUUGUUUUGCUUGGGAUCAUAAUAGCAGACGUAGAAACGUCGAGGAGAUUUCAAAUUCAAUGUCGUGGGCAUGAUCACAAUCUCACCAUUAGGAGUGACACCAGCGAUGCAAAGUCUAUCUCCUAGACUUUUUAAUAUAGAACAAGGCAGUGACAACACAAUCUUAGACCAUUCUUGUAAUUUCUUGCUAUGAUGAUGAUGAUGAUCUUCCAUAAUCCACAUCUCUGCACAAUCGUCGUCGUUGGUGUAACUUAUGCAUCCUAAUUUCCCUUUGUAAUUUACCAAAGUCAGUUCCCACAACUGAUUCAUCUGCAGAGUUAUGGGCAUCUGGAUACGAUCAAAUCUUUGGCAGCUAAUGUCGAACCACGCUAGUUCAUUAUAUUGAUCAUCCAUACUCCCAUGUAGUAGAUUUUGAAACAUUGGCUUAGGGCCAAUUUUUUUAACAUUUUAAAAAGCCUAUUUAUUUUUACCAAAAGAUCAAACAUAUCAUGAUUUGAAAGGUAUAUAUAUACUUGUAAAGCUUAAAAAUAGAUACUGUUUGCAUAUUUCAACAUAGUUUCUGUGAUUUUAUCAUAUAAAAAAUAGUUAAAAACAAAAUUAAAAUUAGUAAAAGAUGUUAAAUCUCUACAAAAUGGUGUUUUUUAAUAUUUUCUCAUAUUUUUUUUUGUUUUUCUGAAAAAUUGUUUAGGGCUUCAGUUAAUGUGGGCAAGGGUUCUGCUUGGAUGUCAAGGUUUCUCCACUGCUGCUUUUUUGGACCUCCCAAUAACGUGAAAACAUGUUUUUCAACCGGAUCAUACCCGAAAAAAUCAUCACAGGAUUUGCUGUAUUUAUCGCAAAAUAUCUCCGCUACUCCCGGAUACACCGUGGCAGGGUCUUGAAUAUCACCCGAAACACAGAUAAUAAGUGCACGAAUGUAUUGAUACUCAAAAUCGCAACUUAACCUACGAGUUAAUGCGGAUAUGAAUUUGUUGUAAUUAGUGAUCAUAGGAUAAGUAGAGGACGAGAAUGAUGAAGAUUGGUGCAACCAAUGGGGGAAGAUUACGAGUAGAAGCGGCUGAGCAAAAGAAGACCGAGUCUCGAGAUGACCAUUGCUUCGAUACGCACUGGAACCUCACAAGUGACUUCACCGGAAGUCUCGAGAGUAUAUCCACCUUUAGAUCCAAAGGGAUAUGGAUACCGUUUGGCUUUUUUUCGAUCUCGCUGUGAUGUUGUCGUUUUGGAGAUCGUGAGGUCUUCUUCUCUUGCAUUACUCUCUUCAUGGUGUCUGUUUUGUGUUUUGUGGAAUAUUUUUUUGAUCAAGCAUAUCGUGUGGAUCUUAUAAACGAGGAAAACAAUCUCUUUAUAUAAUGAUGUUUCAAACGAUUAGAUUCGUGUUUAAUAAUUUUUUUGACAUAUAAUAUUAUUAUUAAGAGAGUUUUUUAUAAUUCUUUCCUAAUUUUAAAAGGUAAAGUUAUUAAACAAAAAGGGAAAAAUAAAAAAUUUAAAUUUAUCCUUAAAGCCAAAAUUAAUAAAAAGGUUAAAAUUCUAUAUUCAUCAUAAAAAGUUAAUAAAAAUCGUUUCCAAAUUUUAAAUAGUAAAGAUACUAAAAAAAAAAGAUAAUUAUCUCUAAGAGUAAUAUUUAUCACUUUGUAUAGUUGUCUUGAAGAAAUUAACAGUUCUUAGUCAUUAAAAUGUUUAAUAAGCUUCCUUGAAGACAAAAAAAAAGGUCAAUUAAAAAGUUAACCCAAACAAAAUCACCUUCAGAAACACAAGUAAUUAAACAACUAAUCUUUCUCUAUGCAUGCAUGUGGCGUCCAAAUAAGCCGUUAAAAAACCAAAAAAUUAAACUGAGUUUAAAUAAGCUAUAUGUAAAUUUUUUAAGUAUCAUAAAGAAAGUUAUAAGAAAAGCCACGCAUUUGCAUGGGUACUCAUCGAUCUAGUUGAGAACAAUAGUACUAGUUAGUGUAUAUGUGUAUUUAUCAAUUAUGUUGGAGAAAAGAGAGAGAGAGAAGGUGUGAAUUAAAGCGAGUGAAGAGCCGGGUGUUUCUCAUGCAUGGCGUACGAGCGGAGUCAACGGUUUCAUGGCUCAAAUGUUAAACACGUGUCACGCAUUUGUUACUCCACCCAGAUUCUGCUGAUUCAGAGUCUCCCUAUUAAAAUCCAAAUGUUCUUUUUGUUGAUAAACAGAAACCAAAAAUAAUCCCUACACCAACAAAACCAAAAAAAAAAAAUUAACAAAAACAAGAACCCAGAAACCAUACAUAAAAAAAAUAUAACUGUUACAUCAAACAAACAAAACUGAUCACAAAUCAGAAACAAAAGACACUAGAGAAAAAUAUAUAAAAAGAAAAUCGAACCAUCGAGAAAGGAGAUUCGAGUUAUUCCUAAUACUUUUUGUUUUUUUCAUUCUCAAUUUUCAUUCUCUAAAAAUAUACUUAAUUAGACCUUCGAGGAAAUCUGUAAAAGACAAGAAUUCUACGAGAUUCAAAGCAAAAUGACGGACGCCCACACUGCCAGGACGAUCGUCGGAAUCAUCGGUAAUUCAACAAAACCUUGUUAAUUAAUCAAUGGGAUUUUUGUAUUUAAGCAUUAUUAAAUGUCUUGAUUUCUUUUUGGUUAUAUGUUCAGGAAACGUGAUAUCUUUCGGCUUGUUCUGCGCUCCAAUGUAAGACACAUACUAUUAGAUCUUUUUGUUGUUGUUUCAUAUGUUGCAGUUAAAUUAAUGCAUGGGAUGAUAUGUAUAUAUAUGUGUGGAUAUAAAUGAUUAUGCAGACCAACGAUGCUGAAGAUAUGGAAGAUGAAAUCGGUGUCGGAAUUUAAGCCAGAUCCGUACGUAGCUACGGUUUUAAACUGCAUGAUGUGGACUUUCUACGGAAUGCCUUUCGUCCAACCCGACAGUCUCCUCGUAAUCACCAUUAAUGGAACUGGUCUUUUCUUGGAACUCGUUUACGUCUCCAUCUUCUUCAUCUUCGCUACCUCGUCUGUUCGCGUAAGCUUUUUUAAUCCCCUCUCCCCAUAGUGAAUUAUUAGCACGCAUGCACGAUAAUCACGAUCGAUAUAAUGCGUUAUUCUUUUCUUUGUAGCCAUCCAGUUUCAUGUUAAUUAGUCUCAACUCCCGUCAUCUUUGUACUCUAAUCGUGAUCUCUUGAAAACGUGACUCUCCCAAUUUGGUUUGUAGUAUAAAGUUUUUGACUUGUAUAACUUUUGCAUAUAAUAGAAGAUCUCUAGGUAGAUUUGAUCAGAUGGUUUACUUUUACUUCAUGAUAUGCGUAUUAAAUUUGAUGAUUGUUAUACAGAGAAAGAUCACGAUAGCUAUGGUGAUCGAGAUGAUAUUCAUGGCGGUGGUGAUCUUCUGCACAUUGUAUUUUUUGCAUACAACAAAACAGAGAUCUAUGCUUAUUGGGAUCUUGUGCAUUAUUUUCAAUGUUAUCAUGUAUGCUGCUCCUUUAACCGUCAUGGUAUGCUCUAUUCUCUUCCUCAUUUCUCCUUAUUAUUAAUUAACUUGGUAUAUAUCCAACGUGCGAAUGGUUUAACUUGACCAGAAUAAGCCUUAUCAGAUUUGAAUUUCAAUCAUCACAUCGCUAAAAACUAGCUAGCAGCCUAGCAUGCAUGAUUUAUAUAUAUGAGUCAAUUGAAUUUAUUUCGAAAUCUUGUAACUGGUUUCAUCAUGAACAAACCUCGAGACUAAUCACGGAUAUGCAAGAAUGGAUAUUUUUUAUUGCAUAUUUUUUUUUAUUUCUCUCAUUGUUGUCUUGUGAACUAACAUUUAAUGGGUUUCAUUUAUGUGGAACAGAAACUUGUGAUAAAGACAAAGAGCGUGAAGUACAUGCCGUUCUUCCUGUCACUAGCCAACUUCAUGAACGGCGUCGUUUGGGUCGUUUAUGCAUGUCUUAAAUUCGACCCCUAUAUUUUGGUAAACUUCAAUCAUCACCCCAUAAUUCUCAACUCAAUCAAGAUACAUAUUAGUAUAUUUUACAAAACCCUAAUAUAUUGAGUUAUUUCAUGAAAACAGAUUCCAAAUGGUCUUGGAUCCCUAUCAGGAAUAAUCCAACUUAUAUUAUACGUAACUUACUAUAAAACAACUAACUGGAACGAUGAAGAUGACGAUAAAGAAAAGCGCUAUUCUAAUGCUGAGGUCGAGCUUGGCCGAGCUUGACAGUUGCAGCUAUGGCUUAUGGGUCGCACUUUUUUCUUCCUUUUAUUUUUGUUUUACAAAAGUAUCAUCAUCGUCGACUGGUAAUUACCAGCUUCAUCGUUAGGUUAAGAUAGAUUCAGAAGAGAUGUCUAUGUGAAGAAGAAGAAAAAAUCUAAGUUAUAAAGUUUUCUUGAGUAGAAAGAAAGAGGUUUCACAUAUUUGUUGAAAUGAUUAUAACUUUCGAAAGUUGAAUCUAUGUAAUUUGUUACACUUAUAGUUUUGAUCAAAAUCUUAUUAGAUUAUUCUAUAACAUUUUUUUGGAAUAAGAAAAAAAAAAACAAAAUCGUCCAUUAGAGCAUCUAUAAUGGUGAACUUUUUAUGGAGUUUACCUCAAAAUUUUUAUUAAUUAAAUUUUGAGAAGAGAGAGAAUGUAAAAGAAGAGAGAAAAUCGAAGAAAAGAAGAAGAGAAGAGAGAGAAAGAGAGAGAAAGAGAAAGAGAGAGAAAGAGAAAGAAGAUGGAAGAGCAAAAAGCUCAGCCAAUAAAAUUAUGCCACGUCGCGUGAACCUCUUCUUAAAAUCGAUUCUAAAAACUCUAAAUUAAGACACAUUUUAUAAAUAUUGAGUUUUAUUCACUUAUUUUUAAUGACAAAAUCCAUGAACUUUUGAUGUUCUUAAAACCUCCAUUACAAAUGGUCUUACUAUUGAUGUUAAGAACAGAGGUUCUCUUGUUUUAGGUUUGUUUGCUUCUGGCAAGAGUUAAAAAAUAUAAACCUGCUGCAAUCUAAGAUCAUGUUUAUCGCCAGUUUCUAAUUGGGUUUCUGGGGCAUUAAUGGCCCAAAAGAAAAUCAAAAAUGGUUUUUAUUAGGAGGAUCGAUCCCUAAUUAGGGACCAUAAAGGAUCGAUCCUUGAGCAUACGUGGCAAGAUUUGGUUGGUCAACGAAAUUAUGGGGAGAGAGAAUUUUUUUUUCGACCAAAAAAUCCAUCGUCGACCAAAUCGCCUUCUUCACCCAAAAUCGCCUUCUCCGUUGUUAUGCCUGAAUCUGUGUCUUUUCUGAUCUAAGGGAUGCCUGCCGGAGCCAAGAGAACUCUCCGACGACCUUCAGAUAAGUGAAUCCUUCUCUCUAUCAUGUCUUGUCGAUUUCUUUGGUUAUCUCCUUCUCCGUGUUUUUUUUUGUUAAUUAAGAAUUUGUGGCAUGAAAUCGAUCGAAUUUGUUGUCUGUAUAAUAUCUCGUUGAUUGGCUGUGGUGCCCCCAAACUCAACCCUCUAUUACGAGAUUGACCUUGUGGCUUUCGACAAAGUUAGUAAACAGUUUUGGUUGUUUACGCCCAUUAACAAUUCAGCGAUUAAAGAAAUAUUAGGUGUCCAACACUUGCUUCUCACUUGAGCUUUUAGGAAAAAGAAUCAUGGGACAUGAACACGGAGGAGAAGAUUGAAGCUGCUGGUAAGAAGAAGGAAGAAGGAAACUCCAAGUUCAAAGCAGGCAAGUAAUUAAAAGUGUUGAAGGUGGUGUGUAAUCUAAAUGACGCAGCCUGCAAACUGAAGCUGAAAGAGUACAAGCAGGCUGAGAAACUAUGCACAAAGGUAACUAAUUUGUGGCUAAGACUACAUAUCUUUUAAUGUGGGUUUAAAAGCUUGGAUGAACAAGAAUGAUGGUAAUAAUGGUGGUUUCGAUGUUUUAGAUAUUAGAGCUUGAAAGCACCAAUGUGAAGGCUUUAUACAGGAGAGGCUAGCAUACAUGGAGCUAGCUGAUUUGGACUUGGCUGAGUUUGUUAUAUAAGAGGAGAUUGUCAAGUUUAAUUCAAAUGAUACGGAGUUGAAGCUGGAGCAGAGACGGUUGAAGGAGAAAAUGAAGAAGUUUAACAAACAGGAGGCCAAAUUUUACGGGAACAUAUUUGUGAAACUAACAGUAAGUGUAACUCUAAGUCCAUGGUUGAUCUUACUCAUCUAAUUAUGAACCAAAAACUUAUCUUUUGUUUUUGAGGUAAUGUGCAUAAAUGAUGCAGCAUCAUCGUAAACAUCAUGCUCGGAGAAGAAGAAUGGUUUAUUGGCUUUUGAUAUUUUGGUCUUUUUCUAUUUCUUUUCCUUAGUUUUGAUUGACUUAAAUGUUGUUAGAUUUCUACCAAUACACCUGAAAAAUUAAGCAGUUUCUUAAUGAGUUUCUCAUUCAAAUUUUAAUAUUAAAUUAAUUAUGAGAAACCAACAUUAGUUUCUACCAAUAAACAUGCUCUUAAUAAGUGAGGAGGGUAAGAUGGUCAUUUACUCCAGAAUCUAGUAACAGAGUAACAGUUGAGAAAACGUAUUUCACAGUUGAGAAACUUACCGGUUCACCCGAUUUGAAUUUAGAAACGAACCAAUGAUCUAAACCGGAAUGUGUGAUUACAAUUGUGUGGUUUGAGAGUGCUUAAAACACGGAGGACCAGAAAUCCCGUUUGAGAUGACGACGAUCGAAUUAUGUUAUCAUCAUCGCCGGCGGCCACCACCGCGCUUCCUCCUCCGCCGCCUGAAACCUACCAAAUUUCUCUGAAUUUACUUUCCUCGCCGCAGAUUACUCGCCGACGCCUUUUCAAGACUCUCUCACUAUGUCUCGCCGCACAACCAGUCUCCGUCUCCACCGCCGCACCAGCCCACGCACGCGGCCUCUUUCAAAUGCCGCCUCUCCGGCUUUCUAAUCGGUAUCCCCUCUUCGGAACCCUAAACUCCUAUUUUGAAUUCUGAUAUCUACUUAGACUUUAGUAGACUUUUGGAAUGCUCUUGCUAAAACUGUCUUUGUAUUGGUGAGAUUCCAAAAUUCUUCACACGGAACAGUUCAAUAGUGGUUCCAUGACACUACACUUGCUUGAUUCCGAGGUUGGAGCUGAUUGUACAAAGUGUUUUUCUUGAAAAAAGUUAUUACCUUGUGAGAGCUGGGGAAUCGGAUUACGAAAGCUUGGGGAUAAUCAACACAAACCCGGUGGCCAAAACAUCGGUAGAUAGUGGAUUAUCAGAGAAAGGUAAGAAGCAGACGGUGAGAGCUGCGUUACAGUUAAAGGCAAUGGGAGCUUGUGACCGAAACUGUUGGCUAUGGCCUUCCAUUACACAGAGAGCUUAUCAGGCUGCUGAAAUCAUCGCUUCCAUCAAUGGAAUUAGUCGCAGGUAAUCCCCAAUACUGAGAUAACAUUACUGUGAAAAACCGAAUCUUUGUGAUGAUGGUAUGUGUGUUUCUUUUUGCAGCUAUAUAGUUCCGGAAUAUAGCUUCCUUGAUGCUCGUGGUUUAGGAGCCUACGAAGGCAAGAAACUAGAUUCCUUAUCAGAAGUAAGAUUUCACAUGUUGAAAUGAGGCGCUAUUAGAGAACUCGGGUUGUAAGUAUAUAUAAUGUGGUUACUAUGAUUUGUUGCAGGUGUAUGCAUUAGACUCAGUAUCGAUGAAGACAAAACCUCCUCCUAUAAGCGACGGUACGCCUAACGAGAGUGUGUCAGAUGUAUUCGUGCGUGUGACGCAGCUCAUGUCCAUUCUCGAGACUCAAUACUCAGAGGACACAGUGGUCAUUGUUUCGCCUGAUUCAGACAACUUAUCUGUGUUGCAAGCUGGUGUUCAGGGCCUGGAUCUUCGAAGGCACUCGGAAUUGUAUUUUGGACCAGGAGAAGUGAGAUUGUUAGACGCAGACAGCAUCCCUGUGUAUAAGCAACCUGCCUCUGCUGUAUAUAAAUGUACAAACCCACCAAACUGUGACUAGUUUCAUCAUUUCUAUAGUUUAUACUAUAUAUAUACAAUCAAAUACAAUUUCGAUCUAAUCAAUAUUAUCCCUGUUUAGACUGUUUGGAUCUUCUAGUUUUUUUUUUUCUAUAUCUUUAUGGCUCUACACAAUAUAUAACUCAUUGUUGACUUAUUGAAAUUUGGAACAGAGAGAUUGGUUCAUAGGAAAAUGGCGUUUAUGUAAUUCAUUCUAAGUUGUAGUUUUCUUUUGUCCUCGUUUGAUAACUAAGGACUCCUCUAUCUAAUGUGUGUGUGUGUCGAAGACCAAACAGCAGAAGAGUAACUUAACUUAUUGGAUUCACUGAUGUAACAUAAGAGAGAAGGACGCAUGAUAACAAUUUGAAAAAAAAAGGACGAUGCGAGAGUUCAGAGAGUGACAGAAACUGAAUGCAAAACCUUGUAGCGGCGAUGUAAGAAAGGUUCAACGGUCAUGACAGGAUGAGACCACUCAAUGUAGCCCCAAAUCUCGGCUCCUUGGCGUCUCUCCAAGGAAAUCUCUGCACACCAAAUCUCAAAACGAUCCCCCUCGAUGACAUCCCAAAAGAUCACAAGGUUAGAACUAAAUUUGCAGAGUCUUGCUCCAGGAAGUAAAUCUGCCAGCUUCUUGUAGACACCCGAAGGGGACUUACGGCACGAAAACUUCCACAUGCCUUCGUUCCUGCGAUCAAAGUGGACCAGUCUGGAGCUAGAGAGACUCUCCACGAGAGAUCCCAAACCCUUUACCCACUUCCAAUCCAUCCUCUCUUCGCUCAGGUUCAGAGCACUCCAACUGAGCUUGCUCACACCAACGCAACUUCCCAAACCGAUCACAAGAGUAGAUAACGUUAUCAAUCACACACCAAUCCCUUUUGUUUCCUCGCAAGUCACUAUGAUUCCCUCUUCCCCAUUUACUUUCACUCGGCGAGUAGUACAAGCUUUCUUCCACAACAUCCACUGCAUAAAUCUUUCCCUCCUUGAGGACCACACUGUGACGGAGCCGGACAAGUCUUCCUUUUUUUAUGCGGUGACUCCUCGGCGGCUGAAUUCGACAUCGCACUCUUUCUGAGAGACACCGCGAGAAUUUUUCUUUUUAUAGGGUACUAAAUUAGCGGGGUUAUGAUUAAUUUUUUUUUUUUAAUUUUUUUCAGUAAAAGAUGUUAAAUUUUUAAGUUUUCCUUUUUCAUUCAUCGAAUUUAAAUUUCCGUUUUAUUAACGCUGGCUUUUAAUUAUAUUUUUUUCCCUCGUUUUGUUUAGUUAUUUUACCUUUUUCCGGAUUAUAAAUCAAUCAUAAACUUAUCGUUUUACUGUUAAUAUUUCUGUUUAGUUAUUAUCAUGGCGAUGAAAGGUGUUGAUUUGAAGUGGUUAGUUUUAUUCUUUUGAACAAGAUUUUAUUAAGUGGUUAGUUCCUAAUUAGUAUUCUGCUUCUGUGUUUGACCUUAACUGAAGCAGAUUCCAAUAAUUUUGUAUUUCUCCAGUUUUAUAACUUUGGUGUAUCUGAAAUUUUGUGGGUGAAUUUUUAAAUGCCUAGCAGGUACGAUGGGUUCUUCUUGUCGAUGCGCGCGACUAGUCUGUAUCCUUUACAGCUCAGCUUGAUGGAUUCUUCUAAUUGUAAUUCUAUGCCUUUAUUCUUCUGUUUUCUAUUCUGAUUCUUGAAAAUUCGAUCUCGUUUUUGGGUAAAAAAAAUAAAAAAUAAGAAGGAUAUUGGGUUUUUACAUUUUUGUAAAAAACAAGAAUUGUCCAUGUGACAUGUCUUAGACCAUAUAUCCACAUUAGUCUUAAGUUAUAAACAUGGACCAUAUAUGUAUAGACCAUAAACAUGAAUCUUAUGUUAUAAACGAAACACCUCUUGGAACUACAAUAUAUGGGAAUUACUUCUUGUAUUUACUUUGGAUACUGUGAAAUUAUAAAAGUUUCACAAGCUUUCAUCUGAUUUAAACUGAUCAAGAACGGCUUUUGUGAUCGAUUAUUCGAAACAAAAAGAAAUUACUGUAAGAAGAAAAAAGAAAGUGUUGUGACAAUGGAUUUUGAAAGAUUCAUAUGGUAAAGACAGAAAUAAAAAAGAUAAAUAAAUAGGAGUGGGUGGGUUGCUUUGUGCUUUAAACAAAGAACAAAAGGCAAAACAAUGCUUUUGAUAUUUUACUUUUUUUUUUGUUAUUUAUUGAUUUUUAUUUAAAGAGAGAAGACAUUUGAUUCAAAAGGGAAUGCUAAAAAAACUACAAAAGAUUUGACAAGAUUGAAAACAAAAACAUUUGAUAGAGAUCAUUAGAUCAAUGAUCGAUGCUUUACUUUAGCUUCGUCCGUCUUGGUGUAUAUUCUUUGUGUUUUCCUUAUACUACCUUUAACUUUUGUGCUGAUUUUUAUUCGAGAAUGCUUAUGUUUAUGGUUUUGUCGUAUAAAGAAAAAACGAUGGAUUCACCUAUAAAAUAUAUUUGAAUAAAUAGAUCAGUCAUAUAGAAAAACAAUCUACUUAUUUUUUUACUAAGAAACACAUUAACUUAUUACAUUUUUUGGAUAGCGUCAUGGACAAACAGAAAUUUGUGAUUAAUAAAAAAAAUACGAACAAGACGAAGAGUAAAAAUAUAGUAUCGUAUGUGCAUAUUUAGCAAGCUGAUAUAUUACUUUAGCAAUAUGGAAUCUUUAUGGCUGGUAAAAAGAGCAAAAAAAAAAAUCAGCAAACACAUGCAGAAAAACGUAGACAUCUUAUGAUUGCGUCAUAUAUUAAUGUGGUUGCUGCAACACCAUUGGUCAAUAACAUAUGGGUGCACCGUGCACAUAUACAUGCCUAACACUGGAUCACUGAGGGUUUUAAUUCUCCACGAAGAAACGCAAAGUGGGUCCGGUGUACCUUUUGUUGGGGGGAGAUACAUUCGUUCACUCUGGAUUGCGUCAUAUAUCAAUGUGGUUGCUGCAACAUCAUUGGUCAAUAACAUCUGGGUGCACCUGCACAUAUACAUGCGUAACACUGGAUCACUCGGGGUUUAAUUCUCCACGAAGAAACGCAAAGUGGGUCCGGUGCACCUUUUUCCUUUCUUUGCCGGGAAAACAAUGAGAAACAGAGAGAGUUAAAGUUUCUUUUUCUCCUUCACUUUCUCACUGCACAUAACAAACAAAAACACACACAAAACCUCUCCAAAUCAAUUCUCGCCGGAGAAUCGAAUCAGUAAUCGCAUCUCGAGAUUUCCGACGGUGUGAACCAUGAAGCGGACUACCUCGUCGAACUCGGAAGCGCAGAGUUACAUCGAAUCACCACUCUCUCCUCUUCGAUUUCACUCUCCGCUAUCAGAUGCCGGAGAUCCACCGGAGAGCCGUUACGUUUCGCCUGAGGGAUCACCGUUCAAACUCGAAAAUCCGAAGGCGAUCGUAACCGACGGCAAGUUCACGCAGUUAACGCCUCUGGCCUCGCCGGUUCCGCCGCCACCUCCUCAGUUUCCGCCGCCGCAUCGUCAGAGAAACGCGAGAGCCCCGACGAAUUCGUCUUCUGAUAAGUCUCCGUCGUCUAUGGUGGUGGUCAAUCGCUGGGUGAGAGAGGAUGGCCCACAGACUACGACGAGGAAGGUUGGACGGCCGACGAACGGCGGAGAAUCGGCAACGACGACCGUGAACAGAGAAAUACGGGAUGAAUUGGUAAGUAAGGCGGCGCUAGGGUUUAGAGUGAGCGAAGUAAUUCUGUGCGUGAUAUCGUUUUCAAUUAUGGCGGCUGAUAAAACUCAAGGAUGGAGCGGCGAUUCCUAUGAUCGCUACAAAGAGUACAGGUCUCUCUUCUCCCUCGAUCUGUUUCUUUCUCCCUUCUUCUUUACACAUUUUAGGAGUUUAGAGUUGGUUUGAAAUCUGAAUUAGAUCAGUCAAAUUUUGUCAACACAAAAAUUUGCAGGUAUUGUUUGGCUGUAAACGUUAUAGCAUUCGUUUACUCUGCAUUUGAAGCUUGCGACGCUGCUUGCUACAUCGCCAAAGAGACUUAUAUGAUAAACUGCGGAUUUCACGACAUAUUCGUUUUCUCCAUGGAUCAAGUGAGUGUUUUUUAACAUUUUGUAUUUGUAAGCAAACACAUAAUGAUUCUGAUGAGCCUCUUUUUCUUUCUGAUGCUUUUAGCUUCUUGCAUACCUUUUGAUGUCGGCUUCUUCAUGCGCUGCUACACGAGUUGAUGACUGGGUAUCUAAUUGGGGCAAAGACGAGUUUACUCAGAUGGCAACAGCUUCUAUCGCGGUUUCGUUUAUAGCGUUUGGUGCGUUUGCGGUCAGCGCUCUGAUUUCUGCUUACAGGCUCUUCACUCAUGCAUCUUCUUAAUUAUCCCCUUUGUGUUGCCCUGAGAAUAUAUGACUCUCGUCUUUGUACAGUCUCUCUUAUAGUCAUAGCUUAGAAAUUAGCACAUGGUAAUGUUUAUUGCUGCUUCAUUGUGUGAUAAAAGUUUCAAUAUGUAUUUAACAAUAAGGCAAGCAAGCAAAUGACUGAGUUUACUUGUGUAACAAGGUUUGACUUGUUUUCUUUUUCAUAACUAAUAUUAAAUUUAAGGUAGGUGAUAAAUCCCAAAACCUAGUAAAUACAUGUGUUUUCGUACAAGCAAACCUCAAAAAGUACCAUAGGAAACGUAUUUGCAUCAAGAAAACCCGAAAUUAUCUAUCUUUUUAGUUCCCUUCUUGGCUGAUCUGUUGCUGCUCUGUUUCUUCUUGAAUCUCUGUGACCUGCAAUCUUCCUGAUCCAUCGCCACCAGAUUCAGAGAACUUAGUGAUCUUCUGUAACUCAUCGCUCACACCUGACUGGUCAUCACUAGCAGCUGCAUCUUGGUCUAUCUUAGCCUGUGGCUUAGGACGGCGAAUGGCCUCGGCUGCUUCUGGCAUAACGACCGGAGGAGGUUGUGGAGGAACCCACGAGCGUUGCCUUUGGAGAGCUGCUGGCUCCAUUGUAUUUGUUUCAUUUUGGAUGCCGAUGGAACGUGAGGCUGUUGUCUCAUAUCCAAAAUCCGUGGAUCUAGGGGUUUUCUGUUGCCACCAUGAACCGUUGGAACUAUCGUCCUGUGGCGCUUGCCCAUAGUCCCAUGGCUGAUCAUAAUAAUAAGAUAACAUGGGUGAUCAGCAAAACUUAAUUUUUAAGAAAAAGUGUGCUGUUCCAUAAAAUCGACCAAGAUUCAUUAUAAAGAAUGUUGUCUUAGAUCAAAAUUGAGAAACAUUUUAAGUUUGUACCUUAGUUUUAGGAGCGAUGCGAGGAUUUGAUAGCUGUUGAUUUGGAUUGGGUGGCAUGUCGUUAAUCUCCUGUAUUUCAGUGAAAGUCUGAUAAGUUUGUCACACUGAACUACAAGGUUAGUCUAAUAAAGGUGCCAAAAAGAAUUUUUUUCAAUUUACCCGAAUGUUCGAAGGCUUCUCCCCUCUCUGGAUCAUAGACAUUAUCUGCAACAUCAGCAAAUUUCAACUAAAUGUUAAAGAAGAUUAAUUGGAAAUUCAAAGGGAAAAGAUUCAAUAUAUAACCCAUGAUUCUGUAGCCAACUUUAGAGAUUUCAGAACAUUACAUCCAUGUAUGACUUUGGAUGAGGGGGCAUAGAUGAAUCAGCUGGAGCAGGAGGAGAAGCAGAUCGUGCUGUAUUAUUAUUUAGUUAGUGAGAAUAGCCUAAUUCAAAAUCAAUAAAACAUAAUGUAGAUUGAGCAAGAGAGAGCAGUUACCUGAGCGCGUGUCAUAAUCAACAUUGCUGCCAUUUGCAUAAGGUUUCUGCAUCACACAUCAACGUUCCUAAUGUUACCAAAAGGACUGUAUUAUCAAGUUCAAGUGUGCUUAGUUGAUUAAUGAGGGGAUCAUUGGUCUCUUUGGAGUGUUUAGGUUUCAGAUUCUGUUUCUUUCGUUCAAGUUCAAUAAACAACUUGUUUUGAGUAAUUCUUUGUGUUUUGUGAUCCUUUAUUCUCUCUCAAUUGGUCCAACCUAACACAAAUGCCUAAGGAAUGACAACGACCACAGACAAUGAUAUAUAAUUCCACUGGUUAAUUGUCAAGUUAAAGUCUGAUGAGAGACUUUGGAUUUAUUUUCCAAAGUUUAUUCCUUCAUAGGGUUUGAUGUUAGGUUUUCUCUCUACAAUGGAUAGAAUCUCUGUUGUGAGAAACAUCCAAGGAUAGAAGAGACCUUAUAGGCUUAUUGGUGGCAAUUACAGAAGGAGUAAAACUAAUCUCUUUGGGAUGUUUUCGUUUCAGAUCCUGCUACUUUACAUUUAAGUUCGAUGAAGAAAAGUGCUUUUUUGAGUUUUCUUUCUGUUUGAGGAUCAUUUACUCAAUGCAUCAAAAAUUAUUCUAUAAUCCCUUGGGACAUUUAAACUCACCCUUGCUGCUGGAGUUGUGAUCGAACCACCAUAAACCUCUUGGUCAGCUGAAUAAAGCUUUGGGAGGUUGUUCGAUUUCCCUGAAAUUAGGAAGUGGAUAUAGAAUAUUACUCUUUAGAUCAAGAAGCUUUAACAGUGGCUCUUAGGAUCAACCAAAAAUUAGGAACCUAGACCCUAUAUGACUCCUGAUAAGAGUGAAGUUGUAAUAGUUCAAAAUUAGAUGUAACAAUAUGAAUACUAAGACACCUAACAGGUGCAUUAUUAAAGCUUGAAUACUUACCUUCGAGCGAACGGAUAUUAUUGCUCAAGGACUUCAUUUCUUGUACUUGGACACCUAAGACGUGCAUUAAGUCCUCAAAAUACUUCUUUUCUGACAAGAAACAAUGCAAAGAUUUGGUUUCAGUGGAAAAGGAAGAAACGACCAAGAGAAGUGCAGAAAUGGUUACAGAAAAAAAAAAAGAGAAACUAAGGUCUAGACUAAACUGCAGAAAUAACGUCUACCUUCACUCUUAGUUUUCAUCAUUUCCUGACUAACCCUGGCUACAUCAGAAGCAGCCGCAGAAGCAGCUUUGGCUGCAGCUACUGCUUCUUCAGCUAAGCUAGGUUUUGCAUCAGCUUUCUUCUGAGGAUCAGUUUCUUCUUCCAACAUUAUUCUGCGGACCCACGAUUUUAAUCUGGGGAUGAGAGAUUUCUGAAACAAGAACAAAUCUCAUUUCAAUGCGAACUUGAUUUUGUAGAAGGAAAGUAGUACCUUAAAAUUCGACUGCACAUGGAGCAUUAUAACACGUCUAGCAAAAAAACUAAAUCCAGAAAAGGGAGAAACAGCUUUCCGACACCCUAACAAAUUUUUUUAUGAAGACUGCAGACUGUUUUUAUGAAAGGUUUUGGCGUCUAUGCUCUGGUGGUCACAUUGAAAUGGAGAAUCAGAUGUGAACUUCAUUAGCUAAGCCAAACAAUGAAUUCCAAAAUGUUCUCUUCCAUUUCAGUUAUGACCUCACACCAUCUUAUCCUAUUAUUCGGUGUACUAAGUAAAAUCAUAAGACAAAGAUCUUAACACACUGCAUAUAAAGGGGUUUCAGGUAAACGGUACCUUUACAAAAACAGCUGUUCCGGCACCAGAAGCCGCUAAAACUCCAACAGCAAGAGCAGCAUGGUACCAGCGAAAGCGGGAGAGAAAACUUGGAGGCGGAAUCAUAACAACGGGAGCAGGAGCAGGCUGCAUGGCUUGUAUCUGCCCUUGUGGCUGAACAUUAGAGACUGCUUGCUGUCCAUCUGUUUGUAACACUAUAAAAAAUUCAAUACACUGAAUAGUCCAGCCAUCAAAGGAACAACCAAACAUAUGUUCUUGCUAAUUUACCUUGGCUGUUAACAUUUGUCUGCGAACUUGGUGGCGGGUCCUAUGUUCAAUAUUUUUGCAGAGGUAAGCCAUUGAAAAUGAUAUUUUUUUAAUGAUCAAAAGACAGGAAGAGGAAGCAAAGAAGCUUACAGGAACACGGCGGAAAGCUUCGUCGAUCUCUUCCUUUGUGAGGCCUUUCCUCUCAAGAAACGAUCUUCUAUGAAUAACAGGAGAUCCUCUAACCCUCGGGUGCGAAAGGAAUUUGAUGGCGUUCUGAAUUUGGUCCUCCCGUAUUGGCUCUGAAUUCUUAAACACAGAGGGAAGAGAGUCCUGCUUAGCAGUUUCUUGAGCGAUGCUAGCUUGCUGAACAUCAUUUGCAAGUGGCUUUGUUACUUCUGUAAUAACAUUUUUUGUAAACAACAACGUUAAUUAUAAAUCCUACAAGUUUUUCCAUUUUCCAAGAGGCAAUACAAAGAAUUUGUUCGCGAAACCAAUAAAAAUGCCCAUUUUAAGGUAUUGAAGAAAAAAAGAGAGAUUAGAGGCUGUAACUAAACCUGAAAUCUGGGAUUUUUCAUCACCCGGAGCUGGAAAAUCGGAAGGAGUCUGCUGAUGAGUUGCCAUAGCAGCUCACCGACCUUCAAAGGAUCCAAGAGGCAGAGACUUCGAAAUCGAAGUGAGAAAGAAGAAACGAAGUCGAAAACGAUUGAUAAGAGAAGAGAUCUUCUCCGGGAGAAAGGGAAAAAAAAUCGUGGGGAUGAGUAAUCAGAUUUUGCUCAUAUCGAGGAAGAGAGAGUUUUAAGUUGGAAAUUCCGAAAUCAUGUUUUCGCUGAUUUUUAUUUUUCUUUGCUGUUUGGUGAGAGUGUAUCUGUGUGGCCACCACACCAAGAGAGGAUAAUGCCAUCGUGUGGUUUUUAUUUUUCCUUGCUCUUAUAUUUGGGCCUUAUAACAAUGGGCCUGAAAGAAAUAUUUGUUUUAAUGGGCCUUUUUAAAGCCGCACUGAUUUAGUCUCCUUUAUAAUAACAUAGAGAAAAUGGGAACGUGUCGUUACCUUAAUAGGGGUCGCUCUUACUAAAAGUCGAAUCUUUUAACAAAAUGCUAAACGAAAUUAAAAAAUGUGAAAACUGUUGGUGUAUGUACCAUUCAAAUUGCGAUCUCACUCACCAAUCCAUAUUCUUCUUAUCAUCUUUCUCACUGUUUCUGCUUUCUUCCAAACUAGUUCUUCUUUGACAAUCUGAGUUGAAUAAAAAAAAAAGGUGGGUUCUCUGAAAAAUAUUCGAUUUCGAAAAGACUGAUGAUGACACUAAACUCAUUAUCUCCAGCUGAAUCCAAAGCUAUUUCUUUCUUGGAUACCUCCAGGCUCAAUCCAAUCCCUAAAAUUCCAGGUUUAUCCCCAAAAAUCCACUAAUCUCUCAUCUUCUGCAAAUCUCUUUUGGAUAUAAAAAAGCUGCAACUCUUUUCUUUACUUCUUCUUCGACUCGUACGAAUUUUGCCGUCUGGGUAUCUUCAAACUGUAACAUAUGACCCAUUUUUUCUGUAAAUUCAUCGAUUUCAAAAACUAAACUUGCAAAAUUCGAAAUUUUCAGGUUACUUUAGUUCUGUUAGUUUAAAUUUUACAUCUUUGGGGUGUCGCCAGGUGGGUUUUGUUUGAGGAGGACGAAUCAAAGGAAAGAUUUUGGAAAAGAAGUCAAGUGUUCAGUGAAAGUGCAUCAGCAACCUCCUCCACCUCCAGCAUGGCCUGGAAGAGCUAUUCCCGAGCCGCCUCGUCAGUCUUGGGAUGGACCAAAACCCAUCUCAAUCGUUGGAUCCACUGGUUCUAUUGGCACUCAGGUUUUAUAUCCAUUUCUUGUUUGGCAGAUGAUUUUAGCUCCAUAAGUUGGACUAGAGACGUUGUUUUCCAGUUCUUGAGUGAGCUGAGACUGUAAAUUGUGUUUAUAUUGUUGGAAUCAUUUUCUAUCGAUAAGCAAUUGCAGUAUCUUGUAUUUUGUAGACAUUGGAUAUUGUGGCUGAGAAUCCCGACAAGUUCAGAGUGGUGGCUCUAGCUGCUGGUUCGAAUGUUACUCUCCUUGUUGAUCAGGUACAUCUUAACAUCAUGUGUAAAUUUACAGUUAAUUACUCUCUCCGAUUUGUCGUUUAUACCACCUGGAAUCAAUGUUUUAUUGUGAAGUAGCUGUGUAAACAGGUUCUUGCUUAGUUUUUUCGCCUUCGGUGAUCUCGAGAAAACUCUAUACAGUAUUAUGGUUCUCUGACUCUCUUUUGAAUGGUGGUGCAGGUAAAGAGAUUUAAACCUGCGUUGGUUGCUGUUAGAAAUGAGUCGUUGGUCAAUGAGCUUAAAGAGGCUUUAGCGGGUUUGGACUAUAAACCUGAGAUUAUUCCUGGGGAGCAAGGAGUUAUUGAGGUUAGUGCAUCUUUUCCAGUUUUUGAGUGCGGUGUGGAUUUUUACAGAUUUUUGGAUCCUCUUCGAGUUUUUGCUUAAAUUCAUCUACAGGUUGCUCGUCACCCGGAAGCUGUAACUGUUGUUACAGGAAUAGUAGGUUGUGCGGGAUUAAAGGUAUAUACUCUCUUCUUUUUUUUGUCCCUAAACCUUAUUGAGAGAAAAUGAGUAAGAAAGUUAGAAAACUUGUUGUUUAUUUUUCCUGCAGCCUACGGUUGCUGCAAUUGAAGCGGGAAAGGACAUUGCUCUUGCCAACAAAGAGACAUUAAUCGCAGGUGGUCCUUUCGUGCUUCCACUCGCCAACAAGCAUAAUGUUAAGAUUCUUCCAGCAGAUUCUGAACAUUCAGCCAUAUUUCAGGUAUUGAAAUGCACAUAGAAUUUGAGUAACCCCACUUUCUUAUUGACUUAAGUUUUGGUCUUAAUGCAAUUUAUAGCGCUGGCAAUUGAGUGAAUUUAUUGAUUGCUAUGUUCUCUAGUGUAUUCAAGGUUUGCCUGAAGGCGCUCUGCGCAGGAUAAUCUUGACUGCAUCUGGUGGAGCUUUUAGGUUUGUUUCAACAUCCUUUUGCUAUUCUUCUCACUCCAUAGAUUUUUUUCCUUGAUUCUUAUUUGGUUACAAAAAAUGUUGGAAAAGGGAUUGGCCUGUUGAGAAGCUCAAGGAAGUGAAAGUAGCGGAUGCGUUGAAGCAUCCAAACUGGAACAUGGGAAAGAAAAUCACUGUGGACUCAGCGACCCUUUUCAACAAGGUUAAGAUCCUUUUCUUCUCAAAUUAAACUCAAAAGUAUCUUUGAUCCGUUGUAAGAUGAGCUCUUGAUAUCUUGAACAGGGUCUCGAGGUCAUCGAAGCUCAUUACUUGUUUGGAGCUGAGUAUGACGAUAUAGAGAUUGUCAUUCAUCCUCAGAGUAUCAUACACUCCAUGAUUGAAACACAGGUCUUGCUCUGGAAAGAAAAUAACUGCAUGCAUUUUUUUUCAUGUAUUUAGAAAACAAAAUUUGCUUAACAUAUAUAUAUAUGUCUUUUGUUCCAUAGGAUUCAUCUGUACUUGCUCAGUUAGGAUGGCCUGAUAUGCGUUUACCGAUCCUGUACACCAUGUCGUGGCCCGAUCGGGUUCCUUGUUCUGAAGUAACUUGGCCAAGACUUGACCUUUGCAAGUAAGCAAUCCACACACAUAUUUAGAUAUCCUCUCCUCUGUCAAAUAAAUCGACACACACACAUUGUGGAUUUUGGCAGGCUCGGUUCGUUGACAUUCAAGAAACCAGACAAUGUGAAAUACCCAUCAAUGGAUCUUGCUUAUGCUGCUGGACGAGCUGGAGGCACAAUGACCGGAGUUCUCAGUGCAGCUAACGAGAAAGCCGUCGAAAUGUUCAUUGAUGAAAAGUAAGAAUUUUGUUUUUCUUUUUCUUUGAGAGUUAUCCCAAGUAAUAAUCUUGAAAGGAAUCACAUUGUUUUUAAUGUCUCGUUUUGUUUACAGGAUAAGCUAUUUGGAUAUCUUCAAGGUAGUGGAAUUAACAUGCGAUAAACAUCGAACCGAGUUGGUAUCAUCGCCGUCUCUUGAAGAGAUUGUUCACUAUGACUUGUGGGCGCGUGAUUACGCUGCGAAUGUGCAGCUUUCUUCUGGUGCGAGGCCAGUUCAUGCCUGAUAAUUAGUUGUUGGCAAGGAGAUUGAUUAAUUCAGUGAUUAAGAAGAAUUGUUGGAGAAAUGGGUUCCUUUUAACACCGUUUUGGCAAGGAUUACCGAUUCUAAGUUGUACCUAAUCUAAUCUGUGGUCCGAACAAGCCAAACCGAAAUUUUAAACCAAUAAAGCUGAAUUCAAUUUUAUUCCCGCUUAUUGUUUUUUAUUUCUUCGGUUCGAUUAUUAUUUGCAAGGUAAUAUAUGGUAGAAAAAUAAAAGAGUGUAAAUAGUUGUACAAUUACAAGAAUAAAGGAAUUUUACCAUUUACAUUGAAACACACAUAAAAUGACUUGCACCCAUAUCACUUGACAAACUUGAAUUAUGAACAAAUUUUCUUUAAGUAUUCAUGUACUAUACUCAAGAUGAACAAAUGGAACAAUACUAUUUUACUAUCAUCCAUAUAACAUAUUUGGCUCAUUACUUUUCCAUUCAUCUUUUUUCCCACUCGCUUAAUUCAUGUUUAUGUAUGUAAUUAAAAUUCGGUUGAAUGGUAUUUAACUAUUUACUGUUUGCCGUUAACUUAAGAAAAAUAACAAAAAAAAUGUAUACAGAUGAAAUUAAAAAAUGAGGGAAUUUACAUUUUCGUUUCACAAUAAUUGCUUUGAAAAUAUGGCAAUGUAAGACUACUGCAAGAUAUGAGAGCUAAUAAUUUUUGUUUCUAAUGAUAACAAAGGAUUAAUUAGGAUUAAGAAAACUAAUCACGACUUUUUCACCUUAGAGUAAGGAUAAAGACAGCAAUGCACUCUUUUGAACCUACUCCCACCGCUAAAAUCAUUAGGAAUAAUUUUAACUUGCAAGUCAUAUAUGAAAAUCCUUCACAUUAGAUUAAUAAUUGUUUGGUGAAAGCGAUUUCGAACAACAAAAAUGUUUAUUUUGUCGGCUCAUUAUUUUGAAAUGAUGAUGUUCUUUAUAUGGAUAUUAUUAAUAAAUAUACUAGAAAAAACAAUUGGCCGGUUUAUGAACUAAAGCAGGUUGUAAGUUAUCAUUAAUCGUAACUUGCAAGUCAUUCUUUUCACAAUCGUGUUAUCAAUUUACCUGUGGUGCUACUGCGUUUCCUAAACGACACAUGUACGACUUGAAUGUUAUAUUUGAGAUUGUAUUUUGAUUAGAUACUAAGCAAUAAGCGUUGUUAUAAUGAAAAUCCAAUUAACCUAACAUUUGAAAACAUGAUUAUUUUCGCCUGUCUGAUAUUCGAUAACAUAAAAUUGGUAAAAAAAAAAAAGGUUAAAAAAAGAAAAAUAUGCCGUAAUAGUAAGAAGUGUUAUAGUUUUCGCUUAACAUAUCUGGUGAAUAUCGAUAUAUCGUUUUCGUUUUCUUGUCGUACCGCUUCUUAGAACUGUUUUGUUUUACUACUUUGUUUUACAGUUUUAGCAUAUACGUAACUGAUAAUUAGUAAAGCGAUAUACUAUUUACUAUUGCGCGAUAAGAUUUAUCAAUCAAAUGUGAAAUCUAUUACAGUAAACACAAAACACGAGAAGUGGAAUGAAUCUAUUUUGAUCUCCGAUUCUCUAGUUUUAUAAUACCACAAAUUUAAUGUCGUUGUGGAUUCCACUGAACAUAUUAUAAACAUAGACACUAAAAACCUACUUCAUUACAGAAAUGACGACUACUAUUAAACUAAACGUAUCUUCUGAAUACGUACUCGUAUGUAGUUGGGAUGACUCAAGUGUAGUCGAUCAAUAGUGUGAACACAUUUCAUUUGAUAGAAAUUUAAACAAGAUCCCAAGGCAAACCAAACAUUCCUACAAUAUCCACCUAAAUGUGUUAUAUCCAAAUUAAUAAAUCCAUAUAUUUAUUAUUUAUACAAAAGUAUUAUGAGAUUCCACACGUUAAUGUUUAACACGUCAAAGGACCACACACUUUUUGUGUCUAAAAUAAAGAAACAUACAGCACUUAUCCAAGUUUCGAAUUUAUCUACACACAUACAUUUAAGUAAUUUUAAUCUCAUAGAAAUAUUAUCAAUCAGUUAGUUAAUUGGAAGAUCGUGUGGACACCUGAAAUUGCCAAAUCAUAUUCUUAGGUCAAAGAAUUUAACAUUAUGAUGAGAAAGAACAAAAUGGCUAUAAACGAAUAAAAACGAAUAGUCUCCAUUCCAAUAAUCAAUCAACCACCAAAACUUAUAUCUAACCAAACCGACACAUCGAGGUUUUAAUUAAAGAAAUAUUCACUUUCUUGCCAACACUCAAGAUUUUCUCGGAAACCAAAAGAAAAAGGUUGAGAGAGAGAAAUAAAAGGAAGAGAGAAAAAAAAAAGUUGGAAAAAGAAAGAAACCGAAGCCCACCCAAAGUCCGCGUCUUCGAUUUCUGUUUCUCUACAUGAGAGCCACGUCACCUUCAAAAAGGAUGUAAAUGACGACUAAGCCCAUUCACGUUUUUCAAUAUUCCAAUCAUAUCCUUUCUAUACGGCCCAAAUGUCUGUCGUUUUGCCUCUUCGCUUUCCUUUUCUUCCUCUCCGACCACCUUCGACGUCGGUUCUUCUUCUUCUCUUUGAUCGGAGUUAGUUUCAUCGCUCUUCUUAACUGGCGCCGGAAAUACGAGCUUCUCGUUCCCUUCGCUACUGCUUCUCGCGUACAGAAGAUUCCGGAGCUUCCAUCGUUUAGAGAAUCCAGCGGAAUGGCUUUUGAUUUUGCUCUGUGAUGGAGAAGACGAGAGCCCUUGGAGAUCGUCAUCUCUGGAAUCUCCACCUCUAUUUGAUUGAUUAGGUGUCCAUACACAGUAAGUCUCCGGCGGAACACCGAUUAGAUCCUCCUCCGCCUCCGAAGACGAAUUCGACGUCGGAUCUCGGUCCUCGCUCAUCAGUUUUCUCAACGCCGGUCGAUGACGACGGGGUAGAUUACUCUUCGGCGGAGAUGGCGUCGGCUGAGAUUCUCCACCUUUGCCAUAUACCGGAGCAUUCGCGAUUCCACCACCGUACGGGAUCAACGGACGGAUCUGACCGUUGCAGAAAAUCUCGUCGGCGGUAGCGAUGGGGUGGGAGAAUCUGCGGCUGGGACAGUCGAAGGCGAACUCGAAAUCAUCGCCGUCGCGGUGGGAAUCGGAUUGUGGCUCCUGGUCUCUGAAUUCCUCGACGACGCGGGCUGCGAUGGCGGCGAGGUCUACGGCGGAGGAAAAACUGCCGAAACUCGGAGAGUUGGAGGAAACGGAGAGUAACCGACUCGCCUGCAUUUUAGAAAGUUGUUGCAGAGUUUUCUGAACUGAAACGCUUAGAGAGGGAGAGAGAGACAAAUAAAGAUUGUACGCUUCGAAAGUUGGGCCCCGUCGACUAUAUAUACGGGAAAAUCGUUGUAUUUUCACUCACGGAGAAAAAACAAAUUUUAAUGAUUACAUUACGAAGAUUAUUAGUUAUUUUAAUCAAGGAGCCAAAAAUGUAAGGUAUUAAAUCAAAUAUCAUGAUCUAACAAGGAGCGUAAUGAACAUAAACCACUAACUAAGGAUGUCAAAUAAACUAAUCCAACCACAAACGCUUAAGCUUAACAUAAGUCUCCACCUUAUCUUUUAAACGGUCAAUAAAUUAUCUCCAAGUAAUUAUAAAAAUAUAUACUGUACACGAAAAGAAAUGUUUUACUUAUCUUCUCCGAUGUCACGUUUGAUCACCAUCAAAUCAGUGAUAAACUUAUCUACAAUGUUUGCAUUCUACGUAUAUAUUGAAUAUUCAAAUGUGAAUGAUGUCACAGAAAUGACGAAUGUAAACGUUGGUUAGGGAAGUCUUGGUCAGUAUUAAAAGGUAAAAUGUAGAGUAUUUAUCCAUUGAUAGUGAAUGGCGACAAGUCAAAGGAAUAAAUCUUCUGUCCUAGAUUCCAAAACUUAGCUUCGCAUGUAUAUAUUUUUUAAAUGUUUUGUUUUCAAAACUAUUACUAAUAUACGAAAAAACAUCUUCUUCAGCUUAUAGGAUGCAUUAAACAAAAAGUCUUUGUAAAUACAAGCUUGUGGAUCGUGUGAUAUAAACAAAAAAAAAACUUCUUAAGAAGGUAAAAGACUAACAGCCGUAAAACUACUAUCUUUUUGAGAAGUCUUUUAUAUAUUUUCUCAAUUUCAUACAAGAUUGAUGUUUCAAAUUUUUGUCUUUUGAUCGAUGCAUUGUAAAAUUAACAUACAACAUUAUCAGAUGAAACUUUAAUUAAUAAUCUUAUGAGAAAAUAUUUUUCUUUGUCAACGACAAUGGAUAGUUCAAUUUAUUUGGGUAAAAAGUUCAACUGGAUUGUAUGUGAAUGCAACUUUUAACUUCUAGUUGGGCCUUCUCGUAUGGACUCACAUAAUGGGACUUAGUGUAAACGGGCCUCACCGAUGCAUUUCUCAUUGUGGGACGCGGUAAAAUAAUUAUUAACUUUAUAAUCUAUCCUUUUUUCUCCGCUGUUUAAGAAAUCAGUCACUUGAAAUAUUAUAAUUCAGAGCAAAGUCAAGUUACAGUUAGAAGUUUUGGUUUUCAGCUUCUCGGAAAACAUUAGUUCUCUUCUCUUCCCCACCUUUCCAUCAAUUUCACCGCAUAAACCCUAAUUUAGAUUUUAGGGUCCCUCUUAAACACUCUUGCAAAUCUCCAAGCUCCUCUUUGACAAAACUUCAUCAGCAACAAUGGAUAAUAAUUUCGGGAACUAUCAUCAUCAUCAAUGGCGUCCAGGACCAACACAGCCAAACUUGUGCCCGGUUUGUACGGCGCCGCACUUCCCUUUCUGCCCACCGUAUCUUCCAUCUUCCUUCCAGCAGACUCCUAGCUUCCCUCCUCACCUCAACUUACCUCGUCCUGGAUUCGACUCGUUCACCGGACCACCGGUUCGACCGCAAAACCACUAUCCGCUCGGUGAUCCAAGACCGUGGUUAGCUCACCACGGUAAUCAAUGGCGACCGGUUUCUGACUAUCGCAGCGCUGUUGAUUGUGAUAGGGAAGCUGAUCGGAGCUAUAAGAGAGCUCGGAUUGAUGCGAUCGGCGGUGGUUCUCCCGGUUAUGUUGUUUCUGGGAGCGAUGGAUUUCAGAGUCCUCAGAUCUCAUGGGAGAACGAACGGAGGCUGAAGAUGGUUAGAGAUCAUGGUUACGGUUUAUCUGCGCCGUCUCCGGGAAAUCUCGAUGAUUCCAAUCUCAAGAUGAAUCAUCACUAUCCGAUGAGCGAAUUUAGGAAUGGCGGUCAACUUAAUGGUGUAGCUCCUCCUCCGCCUCCGCUUCAUCAUCCGCCGCUGCCACCGGCGUCGUACGGAGGCUAUUUUGGCGGUCCUAAUGGUCAGCCUCCUCUUCCGGUUUCGCCACCACCGCCUUUGCCUCCAUCUAAUCCUUCUUCUCUGUUUCCUUUCACCGCUAAUUCCUCUGCAACGGUCUCUCCACCGCCAUCAUCAUAUCCUCAAAUGCCAAAUGCUUCGGUAAUGUUGCUCUCGUGAUUUCGUUCUUACCUCGAAAGUAUCUUGGUUUUUUCUGUACUGAUGAUUUCUUAUCGUUUGGUAGCCAUCUUCUACACAAUUAGCACCAACUCGGUCUAAAGUGAUGGAUGUGUCCCAUUUGCUCAAGCCUCCUCAUCGGUCUACUCGCCCUGAUCAUUUUGUAAUUAUCCUUCGAGGACUACCAGGUUGUUUUUCGAGCCUUCUCUUAGCUCUUUUGGUGGACUUGUUGCAUGAUUUCAGUUCUUAGCGUAGGCUCUUGCUUCUUGGUUUAUCUCUUAGUUUGUUCAAGCUCAUGAAUAUCACCUUCACUUGUUUUUGCAUUUAGAGUGUAGGUGUUACUGAGUAAUAACUCCAUUUGUAUAUAAUUAUAUAUAUGAAGGUAGUGGGAAGAGUUAUUUAGCAAAGUUAUUGCGUGACAUCGAGGUAGAAAAUGGCGGUAGUGCUCCGCGAAUCCAUUCUAUGGAUGAUUACUUCAUGGCUGAAGUUGAGAAGGUUAAUCAAUCCUCAUUAUUCUUCUUAAAAGUGUGAACUCUUUACCUGGGACUAUCAAAGUUAUUCUAAGAUUGUUUUGCUCUAUCAAUGUAAAAGGUUGAGGAGAGUGAUUCAGCUUCUUCAAGAUCUGGUCGAAGCAAGAGACCUAUUGUAAAAAAGGUCAUGGAAUACUGCUACGAACCUGAGAUGGAAGAAGUACUUUUUCAGAACAUAUAUUUCUAGAUAAAUGAAACAUGAAUAUAAACCAUGACUUUAUUUUUCUUUUCUUAAGUUUCUUGGCACUCUUGAAUUCUCAGGCGUAUCGUUCAAGCAUGCUGAAAGCUUUUAAGAGGACUCUAGAAGAUGGGGCUUUCAGCUUUGUAAUCGGUAAUUAUUUUUCCCGUAACUGCAUACUAGGAUGUAUGACUAUAUCUCACUUUAGAAAUUUUUAUUUCCUUGCAAAAGGUAAUUGGUAUCUGUGAUCUGAUGACAUUAUCUCUUUUGGUUUGAUUAUGUUGACAUGAUGGCUACUACGUUUAUUUUUGAGAAAACAUUUCAUAUAAUAUGGUUUCCUUAGUUCCUUAGUUCAAAGAACUUAAUAUCCUCACAGCAGCUCUCUUGUCUGAUCAAGGUAUAGGGGUAAUAUAUAUUUCAAGGUGUAAGAUUUUCAUUUAGGGAUCCUAUUCAUCUAGUUUAGCUAGGAACUGGGUGGUGCAGUGUCCAAGCACUACUUUCAUUUUCUCUAACCACGAAUGCAGUUUGUUUUCUGGAAUUGACCGUUUCUUGCUGGUAUGUGUCGCUCAUCUUAGUGGAUGACCGCAAUCUGCGGGUAGCUGAUUUUGCUCAGUUUUGGGCAACAGCAAAGGUAUAUCCUCACUUCUUUCUGUAUUACCUUGUGGAGAGUAGAUGUUGUUUUUGCGGAUUCUAUGGAAGACUCAUUAUGAUUUGUGAAGUCAUCUAGCUUCUUAAGUGCUUAGUUAUUCUUGGUUUCUCAAGUGUCUAAAUAGUUUAGUGUGCAUUAAACGUUACUCUAACUUGUUUUUAUACGUAAUGUUUUCUAGUAAGUUGACGUUUCUGUCAAUAGAUUAGUUAUCUGAAACAAUUUCAGAAUCAGCUAAUGCUCCGUCAAAUUUUGAAGUAACCUUGCAUUUCCCUAGAAAAGAUGUCUAUUCUUUCUCUCCCUCUCUAUCCUUCCCGCUCUUUCCUUUAAAACCUCCUGGUUGUGUGUGUAUCAUCGAAGAAGAUAUUGACGUGAAGAAGCUUCCAAGUUCUUACAACUCCUUUCUCCCUUAUGAUUGCUAAUUCCCUCUUUAACAAGAUGGGAGUCAUUAUUUUGUUAGUGACUGUCUGUACUAUUCAUGGUUUUAUUUCACCUGCAAGUUGGAGUUGUUGUUUAUUUAUUUAUCUGCUUGCUUCAUGUUGUUUGCCAAACAUCAUGCAACCAACUUUAUGUGAAGUUGCCAUUCUUUUUUAAUUUCCGUAGCCAUGUACGUUCAGUGAUCAAUAGAUACUCUGGAUUUUGUCCUUUCCUAUUCAUUUAUAAACAAAUAGUGGUACUGUUUGCUUGAUGGCUUCUUGACCAGCUGAAAACUAGUAUGAUUCAAAUAAAAGGCUUUGAAUGCGAGAAUUCCUGUUUUGCUCAAAUUCAGUUUGUUUCAGUCUUCAUUUGCCUCGCUUUUGGACAGUGACUGGUGGCUUUAAUAUUUACCCGAAAUAUAGAUGCCGAUUUCUGAGUAUGAUUGGAUGCUUGUAGUAAAUGUUGCACCUUGAAUUGUUACCUGUAACAUUUGAAACGAGGUCAACUAAAUCAUGAUCCUCGUCUAGUACAGAAAGUGAAAGCUUUUAUCUUGAUCGUAGUUUGGAAGUUUUCUUGACAUUCUGUUUCUUGUGCAGAGAUCUGGAUAUGAAGCUUACAUAAUGGAAGCGACAUACAAGGACCCAACUGUGAGUUUCGGCAUAUUUUUUACUGUCCGAUAACUUAGAAAUUGUAUCCCAGCUUGUAUAAAUGGGCGCACUAUAAGAGCAUUAUCAUAUUUGAAUAGAAUGCCAUUCACAUUUCUUGCUGUGCUAAGUGGGUGGGUAAUUGCAGGGCUGUGCAGCAAGAAAUGUACAUGGCAUCACACUAGAUCAGGUACAGCAGAUGGCAGAACAAUGGGAAGAAGCUCCAUCAUUGUACAUGCAACUGGAUAUCAAGGUUUUUCUGCCAUUCAUUUUUUAUUUAUUUUUGGAACGUUUGAACUCUGAAGGAAAUUCAGCAUGGGUUUUAUACAGCAAAAUUUGGGACUUUAAACAAUACCAAUCUCAUGUUCUUGCAUUUUUUAACAAUAUCUAACAGUCUUCUUUUUCUGUGAUAGUCUUUUACGCGGUGGGAUGACCUGAAAGAGAGUGGAAUCGAGGAGGUAAUAGAAUAAAUUAUUUUAUAUACCCUCUCUGUUCUUUAGUUGACAAGGGUUCAGAGAAACCUUGUUUUUGAUCGUUGUUUCAAUCUUGGGCCUUGAUUAGUUUAUUAUAUGAUCCCACCUAAUAACUUGUCAUAAAAAAUUACUCUAGGUGGAUAUGGACAUGGAAGAUGAUUUUGGACUGCCAGAAAGAAAAGAUGAUAACAGCUCCCAGUCAGAAGUGAAGGGUGCGACAGAAGGUAAAAUUUAAAUGCGGCCUUAAUACUUGCCAAGACAAACCGAAAACACUUAGAUGAGUCUUUCUUUUGAUAUUGUCGUAGGCUCUUACAUAAAUGAGAGUAAAUGGGAAGCAGAACCUAGCACCCAUACAGAAAAAGUGAAAGAACUAAGCAGAAGUAAAUGGUCAAACGUAGAGGAAGACGACGAAACAGAGAAAUCUCAAAGCACAGGAAGAAACUCAAAAUCCCUUUCCAGGUCAAGCCAAGAACGGUUGCGGAAAGGCAAAACUGUUUGGUGGGGCGACAAGGUAUAAACAAAACACUCUUUGCUUCUACAUUUCGACUGUAGAAACAUGUUUAUCUUGUGGAAAAUCUCUUGCAUUUGUAUCUGCGGAUAGGGUGGAGACGCAGGUUUUUCAAUUGGUGCUGCGAGGAAUAUGAGCAUGCCUUCUUUAGUUAUAGGUCCUGGAUCAGGAUACAACUUGGUAAGCAAACGAAGAAAAAAAGAAAUGGGUGUCUUCUUGGUCUUAUUACUGUAUGUAUCUUUUUUUUAAUAUAUAUAUUUCGUCAUGGGUUUAAUGCAGAAAUCGAAUCCGCUAUCACGAGAAGAGAGUCUUGCACUGGCUGAUGCUAUUGGAAAAGCAAAGGUAAGAGGAAUUUUCCAGGAUCAGCUUAGAGCAGAGCGUGAGUCUUUUAAAGCGGUUUUUGAUAAGAGACAUGUACGAAUCCCUACGUCUUACAAUUCAAAGGACGACUAAGUGUAUGAUGCAUUUUUUCCUCUGGGAAACCCCAAAGUUUAUUUCCCACUUUGACAUUCACAUCAACCAAUAGAAUUGAGAGAAACAUGGGUUGGGGGGGUUUAAACUAUUAUUAUCCCUUGUUCUGUGUUCGUAUGAAUUUUAAUGUUCUUUUAAUAAAAAAACAUUGGGAUUAUGAAUUUCCCCACUUGAUUAUUUGUGUAUCAUUUCAUUUGUAAAAAAGUUUUUCACAAAUUCAAAAUUAAAAUGCUAAUUUCGCACCAAGUAAUAAUUCUACUUAACAAUAUUAAUUUGGAGUCUAUAGAACUAAAGCCACCAAGAUUACCCAAUGGUUUCCAUCGUAAGAGAAAGCAACCAAGAACUUGAAGUACGCGCUUACAAUAACUAUUAAUUUGUAUAUUAUUUACAGUUUUAAAAUCGUGCCACUGUGAAAACUAUAAUGAGGAUCGGAACUCUACGGAUGAGCUUAAAAGAUUCUAUCAUUCCACAAACCAUAAAUUCUAAAGAUAGAAAACCUCGGAACAUACGAAAGUCCAUAUUUCUCGUUAUACAAGUGAUUUCUACGGAUGUGAUUAUUACAUGUCUAAAGUUAGCUGAAGAUCCUUUUGUAAUAUAAAGGGUGAUUCUUAGUUCAAAAGAAAUAUGUAAGAAACAAAUUUAGAUUUAAACACUAUCUAAGAAACAAAAAAACGUUAAAGAAAAAUGGGAGAAACAGAAGACAAGAUAGUGAAGAAUCAUGGUGAUAACGAAGAGAAACACAACAAGGCUGAGAAAACAGAGGAGAAAGAGAAGAAGAAGGAUAAAGAUAAGAAGGAUAAGCACGAGGACGAUAAAAAUGGAGGAGGAGGAGAAGAAGGCGAAGAUCAAGAGAAGAAAAGCAAGAAGAAAGAUAAGAAGACGAAGAAAGAGAAGAACCCUGAAGAUAAAAAAGAUCCAGAGAAGUUGAAGUUGAAACUUAAGAAGAUUGAAGACAAGAUUCAAGCUAUGGUCUUAAAGAAAGAUGAGAUCGUGAAGCUUAUUCAUGACGCAGAACAAGGUAAGACGACUACUUCAGUGGAUGCACCACCACCUACUAACUAACUAAUUCAAAUGCAAAACUAAAGUUUCAAGUUAACCCCAUAAUUUUGUAUCUAUAUAUUUAUCACUCCGUUCAAUAAGAAGUACUGAUGAAUGUUGUUUUCAGCGUAUUUUGGUAGGCUUUUUGUUUUUGUUCAUACCAAUCAGAGUUGCCUGUUUGAUUUUACGUGUUGUAAAUUGUACAAAAACCAUGUGUUUUUCUAUGUAAUACUUUUAAGCUUACUAUUUUUUUGGUCAUUCUGAUUUUUACCACAUUGGAAGGACUAUAAAGUUUAGGUGUUUGGACGUUGGCUGGAUUUGUAGCACAUUUUGUUUUCCUCAUUUUUUUCUUAGUGACUGGUAAAAUAACUUAGGGAUAUAGAGUAAUUAUGAUUUUUUUGACUUCAGACUUUUACUCUAAAUUUGUUAACCAGUCAGGCCCUUAAUUCCGAGGAUAUUGGGUUGAAAUAUUGAAGAAUACUGAGGGGCCAGAUGGUAAAUUAGUUUUUCCACCAUGAAAGUGGAAACAAGCACUGAAGCACAUGUCUGCUAACCAAAAAAGGCUGAAUUUACUUCUUCUAGCAACUAGGAUCAUUUGUUAUUACGUAUAGGAGGUUCAGGUGGCAUAUAAUUCACACAUCACCAUCUUAUGACUAUUACAGAAUUAUUUCAUAUUAUAUAAAAUUAACCAUGUGAAAAGGCUUGUCUGUUUAAGAUGAAUUAUUGAGAUCCUAAAUAUAAAAAGGCCCUGCGAAACUUAUGACAAUGUCAAUGUCUACUUGCCACUACAAGGAAAUGCCACUAAUUUCGUGUAGGUGAAGGAAAUUUCCUGCGAAAUUUCAUCAACCUAUCUGAGUGUGAAACAAAACAUCUUUAACAGACAACUUAACAUUUUCGACCAAAAAAAAAAAAAAAUCUUUAACAGACAACAUUAUUAUUAAUCAUUACCUCACCAAUGCGAAUAGUAACACCUUCAAAUAAACAAAACACCAGAAUUUAGUUAUUCUUAAUGGCGGUGAAAUUACUUGGAGCAGUUUGCAUUUACGGCGUUAAUGUUAAUAACGUUGGUUGUAUUAUUGGCGUUAAAUAUUAUUACUAGCAAAUUCUAAACACAAACAAAACUAAUGUUGAACAGCAUUAGUGUGGAUAUUAAUUGACGCGUGUAAUGCUAACGUGAAUGGUGCACAAUUUGACAUCAAAACCAUUCACGUUCUCAACAUGUACACCAUUCAAAGCCGAAUUCAUCUUUGACUUCUCCUUUACUCUUUGAUUUCUUUAGAAAAUCGAUCUACAUUGACCAAGCUUUCCUCUUUGACCCUUUCCUCUUUGAUUUCUGUAGAAAAUCGAACUACAUUGACCGGAAAAAUAAAGAAAAAAAAAAAAUACUUAUGUUACUAGCAUCCGUUUUCAUUCAAUAAUCCAUACAAAUUGUUUGAUCUCUUUUUAGCUUAUAACUUAAACUCUUUAUUUGAUGCUACUUACGAUUUUGGUUGUAAACCCAAAUAUGUCUAUACAGCAAGGGGAAAAAAUCCAAAAAAAAAGCAAAAAAAAGCAAAACAAGAUUCACUGUAAUCGAAUAGAGAAUGAAAAAAAACCAUCAUAAGAUCUUAAUCACACACCAUAAGCUGAGUAAAAGAAAGAGAACAUAGAAAGUCCAUCCACUUCAAGACUGGUCUGCGAAAGAGCCUUGAAGGAGACCGUCUCUGAUCUGAGUAGCCACAUCGCGAACAGCUCCUGGUCCGUGCGGAAUGAACACAGCAGAAGAUUUGGAACUUGCACCAAUCUCCUUCAUUGUGUCAAAGUAUUGUGUAACAAGCACCAUGUCCAUCACAUCUUUAGCAGUUGUCCCUGGGACGUUCACAGAGAAACCCAAGACACUGUCUCGUAGUCCAUCUACAAUCGC
Molecule: long non-coding RNA, 31881 nt
Filed under: Eutrema salsugineum
Lineage: Eukaryota; Viridiplantae; Streptophyta; Magnoliopsida; Brassicales; Brassicaceae
Description: long non-coding RNA (ESAL_LNC000428)
Source: RNAcentral